RNAcentral lists this ribosomal RNA (357 nucleotides) under uncultured bacterium. RNAcentral's name for it is "bacterial SSU rRNA". It matches the Rfam family "Bacterial small subunit ribosomal RNA", at positions 29 to 389 of the family's 1533-position model. The record is from RNAcentral.
AUUGAACGCUGGCGGCAUGCCUUACACACGCAAGUCGAACGGCAGCACGGGGCAACCUGGUGGCGAGUGGCGAACGGGUGGGUAAUGUAUCGGAACGUGCCCAGUCGUGGGGGAUAACUGCUCGAAAGAGCAGCUAAUACCGCAUACGACCUGAGGGUGAAAGCGGGGGACCGUAAGGCCUCGCGCGAUUGGAGCGGCCGAUAUCAGAUUAGGUAGUUGGUGAGGUAAAGGCUCACCAAGCCGACGAUCUGUAGCUGGUCUGAGAGGACGACCAGCCACACUGGGACUGAGACACGGCCCAGACUCCUACGGGAGGCAGCAGUGGGGAAUUUUGGACAAUGACGCAAGUACUGAUCA